Long non-coding RNA from Gasterosteus aculeatus aculeatus (three-spined stickleback), 3679 nucleotides. NCBI's taxonomy places the organism in Eukaryota, Metazoa, Chordata, Actinopteri, Perciformes, Gasterosteidae. The record is from Ensembl.
AGGCUAGGUUUGCAUGGCCAUACUGCAAAGAUAGCAGAACAUGUACUUUGAAAAAGUAAUAAUUUAGUUGAACCUGACGCAAGCAAGACUUGUUGCUAGUAUACUGUAUAUCUGGCUGCUGGCUGCUGUAUUAUUUCCACCAGUCAAUCUCUAACUAUCUGUUUAUUGUUUGGUACUAAGCAAGUAGACUAUACAGUGGAUUCUGCAAGCUUUAUUUUUUAUUGAAAACAGCUGCCUUCUGUGGUUGAAAACUGCAAAGUUGUGAGCCGCGCAGCUCAUCUUGGAGCUGUAGUCGAGGAGAGACACAGAUUCAUCUGAUAAUUCUCUGGAGUAUGUUCCUCGCUGUGGGCAACACCUUUCACGCUGAGAUAAAAAAAAAAAAGAAAUCCAGGCAGCCGUCUUUCAUAAGCCGUAAUGUCGGUGUCUUUAGCGCCUGAGGAGAAAUUGCUGAUGUGAAGAGGCAGGUGCCUGCAGCAAGGACUAUAACCUGAGCAAAUGUACCCGACAAAUGAUGUUCCGAGGGGGCCAUCGUGGCGUCCACUGGCCACUAAAGUCGGAUAAUUCAAUUUCAGACGAACAAACCAAAUGAUUCCUACUGCCUCAUGUCACAAUGCUGCUGCUGAGAGAUCUUAGUUGCCAUUAGCUGAUGUGUUUACAUGACUAGAAAACAUUUAUUUUGCUGGCAAAGCUCUGGAGCGUGAACACCGCCAACGUGCAUGGAAACAAUUACACGUCUGGGACAUGCACCCAGUGAUACCGGCCUCCAACCCAAACACACUGGAAAGCAUAAAUAUUCAUAAGAGGCUCGCGGGAGGAUGGAUUAGAUAUAAAUGGGAUGCAAUGUUUUUUUUUUUCCUGUCUUAUAGGAGGAACUGCACGGAGGGGGUAAACUGUACAAAAGGUCCUAAUGCAUUACACCGGCUCCACAUCCACCUUUAUUCAUCCAAACCAGAUUUGUGAAUGAGACGAGGUCUGAAUUAGUUUGCUGUGGUUUCAAACAGUUCGGGUGGUGCUGCUGUCCAGCGCGUUGGCGUCCGUCCAUCAGCCGCUUGAAAAGCAGUGUAGGUUCUGAGAAGUGUGGUUGUGAUUAGCGUGGUCCUUAAACUCCAACCCCCCCAGGUUGUGAAAACAUUUGAAAUUUUUUUUUCAUUUCCUUAGCUUAAAUUGAGGAGCGUCCCGGUUCUCUCUGUGAAUGCACACACACACACACACACACACACACACACACACACAGACACACACACACACACACACACAGACACUCUGCCCUGUGAAGGAAAAUGAUCCCGGACUCACAGAAGUCCAGCGGAGCAGACCUGCUCUCCUGUGACCUCUCGGGUCACACGGAGGAGCGCUGAGCCGAGUGCGGACCACUACUGUGCCCUCGCAGUUUAUCUCCACAGACGCUAUCGAAUGUCACCGAGGGGGGAAAAGACCCCUCUGUUGCUGUACGCAGAGGUAAGAGCAGCAACUUUGGGAAGGAGGUGUGAGUUUUAGGGUUCAGACGCAGGCCAGAGGUUAAAGGAAGAGGUGGAGGUUAAAGGUCGGCGAGUUUAACUGCUCCUACCUGCGCACUGAGUGUCCUCGGUCACGUCCAUUUAACUGACAAGCUCGUAAAUGUUCCCCUUUUUACUGUAAUAUUUGGCUGCAUAUGUCAUGUUUCAGUCUGUUUUCAAAUACUUUACAUCAUUAAUGAAUUGAUUUGAAAUCUCUGCAACAGGGACCUUUGAAUACCCUGUGGGGAGUACCACGCCUCCACUUGAACUGAUGUACAGCGCUUGACAUGAAGUCGGCCGGUUGUAUGGGUGAAGUGGACCCCCCACUGUUGCUCCAGAGGUGGGUGGAGGUGUUAAAGAGCUUGGGGCGGACGGAGUCUCCCGUUCUCAGGCCCAGGUGGGGGCAGAGGGAGUUUCUGGGCUGGUUCUUAAGUUCAGGAAGAGAGCCGGCAGGGGUGCAGGAGCUGAGCAAUUACACUGUUUUGGUUACAGGGGAGCUAUUUGUUUGCGCGGUUUGACAUGUUUCGGUGGACCGGGGGGAGCUGUGCAGUAUGGAAAACCGAUCGCACUCAAGCGUAUUUAUUUGUUCUGCAGGCAAAGCAGCCAAACAGAUCACGGCUCGGGAAAAGGAACUGGAAGUUGGAGACAAGUAAGAAAUCACACACGGAGAGUGAGAGAAAGACAAUUUUGUGAGUUUUCCAAACAUUUGGGCCCUUUGCUUUGUCCCAGCAUGCUGUGCACUGAGUGGGUCCUGUGGAGGUGCGGGUGGUGGAGAGGACACGUCCUCCAUCUGCCUGCCCGGCUUUCCGGACCACCGCACGAUGCUGGCUUCUCGCCAAUGCUGAGAUGAGUUACGUUUUGACUCACAAUGCUGUGCCAAAAAAAAAGAUUCACCAGCAACCAGCAAAAGCUUUAAUUUAAAUAAGCCUUAAUUAUCAACAGGAUAGCAUAAUCCUAGAAUUCUCCGUCAGCCUAUUAUUCAUUGCCCCCCUCUCCCUUUGUCUCUAUUGCUAGGCCUCUUAAGCUCUCUAUUCAAGGGGAGACACAUAUUGUGGUUUGUAGCAUAUAUCACUUUAACACUUUCUUGGGUUUUCUUUUAAACAAUAGCGCUUUAACAAGUCAAGUUUGAUGGAAGACGGUUUUCAUGUCUCGCAAGGAUUAUCACUUUAGACCCCGUGCAGACGGACUCUAGUUUGCCUGAACCCGGGUUCGUUUUUCACACCUACCCACUUUUUUAAUUGCGUGCACAUGAACCCAGUGAAUCCGAUUGACUCCGCUGUAGUACAUCCCCCACGCCUGUUGGUGGCGCUUUAAGGUGCUACAGACAACUGAAGAAAACGGAAGGAGAAGACAGGAGCAUAUACAAACGAACGGCGUAUACAAACGAAAGGAACUGACGAUAUUCCCGUAGUACGCAUUGUAGACUUGUUAGCACAUUCAGCAGGCACAUUAUCCUUGCGUUCGCCAUUGUUAUGAAGUGACGCAUUGGGGUUAAUAAGGGUUCAGCGUGAGGUUGCAUGCAAUCACGUGAUGCAAUCGGAUUUCGAGUUUACUCACUUUUUCACUUUGAGUGCGGAUACAGUGUGCGGAUACAGUGCGUUCGUCUGCAUGAUAGGGCUAUCCGGAGACGGGGUUCACCGGGUUCAGGCUAACUAGAGUCCGUCUGCACGGGGUCUUAGACAAGCAAAUCCCCAAUUGGCAGUAGCAGAUUUUAUUAGCUGCAGUUAGCUGUUAUAGUUGAAAAACACGGUCUACUGCUGGCAUAUAAAAAUAGUCGUGUGAAAAGGUCGUAAAAAAUGCAGCUGAGUAUACAUAACAUUGCACUAAAAGAGUGAUGCUAAAGCCCCUCUAGUCAAUAGCCUCACGUCCUCAUCCUGAUGAGGUGGAAAAUCGAGAAACAGUUUUGCACAGCGUUGUUCUUUUAAUGCAGUGCAGAGUUUGGCUCAGUAUGUGUGAUGGGUAGAGCUCUCCCCUCCCCCCCCCUGCCUGUUUGGCUACACCACCUUAAUUGGUGAUGCCUAACAGGUGUGACCAGGUGCUCUUUAAAUGGGAGCUUUUGCCCCACUAGAGCUAGAGGGGGGCUUGCUGUAGGUCUCCCACGGCAUAGGCACAGCACUCGCCACGUGCGGAUGGGUUUGAGCGGAAUCUAGAGGAAAUGAUCAGGUGGUGCAACACUGAGCCUG